AGUGAACGCUGGCGGUAGGCCUAACACAUGCAAGUCGAACGGCAGCACAGUAAGAGCUUGCUCUUACGGGUGGCGAGUGGCGGACGGGUGAGGAAUACAUCGGAAUCUACUUUUUCGUGGGGGAUAACGUAGGGAAACUUACGCUAAUACCGCAUACGACCUACGGGUGAAAGCAGGGGAUCUUCGUACCUUGCGCGAUUGAAUGAGCCGAUGUCGGAUUAGCUAGUUGGCGGGGUAAAGGCCCACCAAGGCGACGAUCCGUAGCUGGUCUGAGAGGAUGAUCAGCCACACUGGAACUGAGACACGGUCCAGACGCCUACGCGAGGCAGCGUUGGGGAAUAUUGGACAAUGGGCGCAAGCCUGAUCCAGCCAUACCGCGUGGGUGAAGAAGGCCUUCGGGUUGUAGAGCCCUUUUGUUGGGAAAGAAAAGCAGCAGGUUAAUACCCCGCUGUUCUGACGGUACCCAAAGAAUAAGCACCGGCUAACUUCGUG
Molecule: ribosomal RNA, 492 nt
Filed under: uncultured bacterium
Lineage: Bacteria
Description: partial 16S ribosomal RNA
Rfam family: Bacterial small subunit ribosomal RNA
Source: RNAcentral